AUUCAGCGGCGGACGGGUGAGUAAUGCCUAGGAAUCUGCCUGGUAGUGGGGGACAACGUCUCGAAAGGGACGCUAAUACCGCAUACGUCCUACGGGAGAAAGCAGGGGACCUUCGGGCCUUGCGCUAUCAGAUGAGCCUAGGUCGGAUUAGCUAGUUGGUGAGGUAAUGGCUCACCAAGGCGACGAUCCGUAACUGGUCUGAGAGGAUGAUCAGUCACACUGGAACUGAGACACGGUCCAGACUCCUACGGGAGGCAGCAGUGGGGAAUAUUGGACAAUGGGCGAAAGCCUGAUCCAGCCAUGCCGCGUGUGUGAAGAAGGUCUUCGGAUUGUAAAGCACUUUAAGUUGGGAGGAAGGGCAUUAACCUAAUACGUUAGUGUUUUGACGUUACCGACAGAAUAAGCACCGGCUAACUCUGUGCCAGCAGCCGCGGUAAUACAGAGGGUGCAAGCGUUAAUCGGAAUUACUGGGCGUAAAGCGCGCGUAGGUGGUUUGUUAAGUUGGAUGUGAAAUCCCCGGGCUCAACCUGGGAACUGCAUUCAAAACUGACAAGCUAGAGUAUGGUAGAGGGUGGUGGAAUUUCCUGUGUAGCGGUGAAAUGCGUAGAUAUAGGAAGGAACACCAGUGGCGAAGGCGACCACCUGGACUGAUACUGACACU
This 661-nucleotide ribosomal RNA is filed under the name Pseudomonas sp. SA070. RNAcentral's name for it is "bacterial SSU rRNA". It matches the Rfam family "Bacterial small subunit ribosomal RNA", at positions 90 to 747 of the family's 1533-position model. The record is from RNAcentral. Lineage: Bacteria; Pseudomonadati; Pseudomonadota; Gammaproteobacteria; Pseudomonadales; Pseudomonadaceae.